This 225-nucleotide ribosomal RNA is filed under the name uncultured Eubacteriales bacterium. RNAcentral's name for it is "uncultured Clostridiales bacterium partial 16S ribosomal RNA". It matches the Rfam family "Bacterial small subunit ribosomal RNA", at positions 109 to 334 of the family's 1533-position model. The record is from RNAcentral. Lineage: Bacteria; Bacillati; Bacillota; Clostridia; Eubacteriales.
AGUAACGCGUGAGCAACCUGCCUAUGACAGUGGGAUAGCCUCGGGAAACCGGGAUUAAUACCGCAUGAAAUCGUAGAAACACAUGUUUUAACGGUCAAAGAUUUAUCGGUCAUAGAUGGGCUCGCGUCUGAUUAGCUAGUUGGUGAGAUAACAGCCCACCAAGGCGACGAUCAGUAGCCGGUCUGAGAGGAUGAACGGCCACAUUGGAACUGAGACACGGUCCAA